RNAcentral lists this unclassified non-coding RNA (200 nucleotides) under soil metagenome. RNAcentral describes it as "partial contains 5.8S ribosomal RNA, internal transcribed spacer 2, and large subunit ribosomal RNA". The record is from RNAcentral.
GGGCAUGCCUGUCCGAGCGUCAUUACACCACUCAAGCUCUGCUUGGUACUGGGGCCCGCCGCGCGGCGGCCCCUAAAUCCAGUGGCGGUGGCUCCGGUUCCUGCACGACGUACCACGUUCCGUGCCAGGGCUGGGUCCGACCGGCCAGAAACCUCUCUCUGGUUGACCUCGGAUCAGGUAGGAAUACCCGCUGAACUUAA